UACAGAGGGUGCAAACGUUGUUCGGAAUUACUGGGCGUAAAGCGCGUGUAGGCGGCCCGGUAAGUCGGAUGUGAAAGCCCUGGGCUUAACCCAGGAAGUGCAUUCGAAACUCCCGGGCUUGAGUUCUGGAGAGGAAGGCGGAAUUCUCGGUGUAGAGGUGAAAUUCGUAGAUAUCGAGAGGAACACCGGUGGCGAAGGCGGCCUUCUGGACAGUGACUGACGCUGAGACGCGAAAGCGUGGGGAGCAAACAGG
RNAcentral lists this ribosomal RNA (253 nucleotides) under uncultured bacterium. Its description in RNAcentral is "partial 16S ribosomal RNA". It matches the Rfam family "Bacterial small subunit ribosomal RNA", at positions 524 to 776 of the family's 1533-position model. The record is from RNAcentral.